AGCAGUCGCCGCGGUAAUACGUAGGUGGCAAGCGUUGUCCGGAAUUAUUGGGCGUAAAGCGCGCGCAGGCGGAUCAGUUAGUCUGUCUUAAAAGUUCGGGGCUUAACCCCGUGAGGGGAUGGAAACUGCUGAUCUAGAGUAUCGGAGAGGAAAGUGGAAUUCCUAGUGUAGCGGUGAAAUGCGUAGAUAUUAGGAAGAACACCAGUGGCGAAGGCGACUUUCUGGACGAAAACUGACGCUGAGGCGCGAAAGCCAGGGGAGCGAACGGGAUUAGAUACCCCGGUAGUCCCUGUCUCUUAUACA
RNAcentral lists this ribosomal RNA (303 nucleotides) under uncultured bacterium. RNAcentral describes it as "partial 16S ribosomal RNA". It matches the Rfam family "Bacterial small subunit ribosomal RNA", at positions 507 to 809 of the family's 1533-position model. The record is from RNAcentral.